GACGAACGCUGGCGGCGUGCUUAACACAUGCAAGUCGAACGGAAAGGCCCUGCUUUUGUGGGGUGCUCGAGUGGCGAACGGGUGAGUAACACGUGAGUAACCUGCCCUUGACUUUGGGAUAACUUCAGGAAACUGGGGCUAAUACCGGAUAGGAGCUCCUGCUGCAUGGUGGGGGUUGGAAAGUUUCGGCGGUUGGGGAUGGACUCGCGGCUUAUCAGCUUGUUGGUGGGGUAGUGGCUUACCAAGGCUUUGACGGGUAGCCGGCCUGAGAGGGUGACCGGCCACAUUGGGACUGAGAUACGGCCCAGACUCCUACGGGAGGCAGCAGUGGGGAAUAUUGCACAAUGGGCGGAAGCCUGAUGCAGCAACGCCGCGUGCGGGAUGAAGGCCUUCGGGUUGUAAACCGCUUUCGCCUGUGACGAAGCGUGAGUGACGGUAAUGGGUAAAGAAGCACCGGCUAACCACGUG
RNAcentral lists this ribosomal RNA (468 nucleotides) under uncultured bacterium. RNAcentral's name for it is "partial 16S ribosomal RNA". It matches the Rfam family "Bacterial small subunit ribosomal RNA", at positions 28 to 507 of the family's 1533-position model. The record is from RNAcentral.